RNAcentral lists this ribosomal RNA (604 nucleotides) under uncultured archaeon. RNAcentral describes it as "bacterial SSU rRNA". It matches the Rfam family "Archaeal small subunit ribosomal RNA", at positions 335 to 939 of the family's 1478-position model. The record is from RNAcentral.
GCAGGCGCGAACCUUCGCAAUGCGCGCAAGCGCGACGAGGUUAUUCCGAGUGAUUUCCGCUGAGGAGAUCUUUUCUCAGAUCUAAAAUGUCUGGGGAAUAAGGGGAGGGCAAGUCUGGUGUCAGCCGCCGCGGUAAUACCAGCUCCUCGAGUGGUCAGGGCGUUUAUUGGGCCUAAAGCAUCCGUAGCCGGCUCAGUAGGUCUUCUGUUAAAUCCAACGGCUCAACCGUUGGUCUGCAGGAGAUACCGCUGGACUAGGAGGCGGGAGAGGCGGACGGUACUCCGAGGGUAGGGGUAAAAUCCUUUGAUCCCCGGAAGACCACCAGUGGCGAAGGCGGUCCGCCAGAACGCGCUCGACGGUGAGGGAUGAAAGCUGGGGGAGCGAACCGGAUUAGAUACCCGGGUAGUCCCAGCCGUAAACGAUGCGAGCUAGGUGACACAACGCCUUCGGGGCGUUGUGGUGCCGCAGGGAAGCCGUUAAGCUCGCCGCCCUGGGGAGUACGGACGCAAGUCUGAAACUUAAAGGAAUUGGCGGGGGAGCACCACAAGGGGUGAAGCCUGCGGUUCAAUUUGGAGUCAACGCCGGGAAAUCUUACCGGGAGCGA